UGGUGGCUGGUAGCUUUGGAGUCUCUGAUUCUGAUCGCCUCACCUCACUUCCUAGCAGCUCGAUCUGCAAGCUUUUAGUGACGCUCCCUAUACUCCUUAUAGUAGGUUGGUACUUGGUACCUGCAACGAAGGCGCGCUCGUCUCAUCUCACCGCAGUGAUCUGUGCAGGCGCCGUGAAAACGAUGGCGCUGGUGCGGGUGGCUCCGGCUGCAGCCCAUCAUGAGGUCACCUCACAAGGCAACUGAUGCGAGGAGAUCGAGAUCCGGAUCGAGAUGACCCAGGCCGCUGUUGCAAUCCUCGCAUGAACCCUCCCUGCCCGGAUCGAUGGCGACGGCGACGGCGACUUGCUUGGAUCUUUGCUACUACUCCAUUCCGUCUCUCCAUGUACGGUGACUUGGACCAGCGUCAGUCUUACUCGAUCUUAUACCACCAUUACCAGUACCACACCAACCCCUCUUCCUGAUUGGUAUUUGGAUAUAGAAAAUAAAAGAUCUUGCUUUUGUCCGGUUUGGUGGAUCAUAAAAGGUGGCUUUGCCUGUCUGCUGGCCACACCUCCUUUUUCACAUGCAAAGGAUUUGCAUCAUCUGUUGGGCUCCUAUGUGAGGUGCAAUUCCAUGGACCCCAUCAGAUUAGUUUGCAGCUCUUAGGCCUGCAAGAUUCUGAGUUCUGUGAUCCCAGUACUGUGUUAUACUUGGACCCAGAUUCUUUGAUUUGUCCUUUGGUGAGAUAGAGAAUGGCACUAUUGGGGGAGGUGUUAGGUGUUCAUGCCCCCACAAGGGUAGAAUUUGCCAGAAACACAAAUACAAGGGCGGUUCGAUGAAUGGAAGCGUGUUUUUGUGCCGUGUAAAGAUUGAUAGGUGGUAAACAAAAGGGUGAUGCUGGUGAAGGAUUCAGCCUCGUUUGAGUGGUUACAAUUGGUUGCUGAAAUGGAAGGUUUGCUCCAUGAGAAAGACGCCGGACUCCAUGAGAAAAUUACAUUCGGAAAAGUGUGAACCGGUUCACCUCAGUUAUAAACUACUCUGCGCGGUUGUGUGAGGCCGAGUCACCUUGAGUUUGACGUGCCCAUUACAUGCUUGAUUGAGUGCCUGAGCUGAGAGGCUACAAUUGCUGAUUUCUGGAUGCUGUGACUUGUAACCAGCACUUGUCUGGAACCAUGCAUUCAGAUGUGUUGCCAAAAGACAAAAGCUCAAUAUAUAGUACUGCUACCUGUUGAAGCGGUAUUCAUAUGCCAACUGCCGUGCUUGGUCAAGUCAGCAUGUAGUACGUGUUUUGGAAUUUGGAUGUUUAAGGUACUGAAAAUGAUGUCCCUGGCUGCUAACAGCAUAUAAAUGUUGACCGCUGCGGUAGGGUGUGCAUGUUUUGAUCAUUCAGUGGAGCAGGCUAAGCAUAUUGCUUCUAUUGGGUCACACUCAACUCAACACACUAUAUGCUGCGGGAGAAGCAUUCAAAGGGCCGCUGUCUUUAUCAUGCUAAUGUAGAGAUUACCUGUUGCAGAAUAUCGUAACUCCAUUAAUUAGGAUAAGGACUGCCAACAACUGCAUAUGGUCUUGGAGGAUUGCAACACAUUGAACCAAUAAUCUUGCAACUAAACUGUAAUGUUUCACAUGGUAUAGUAGAAGCAUCACUUGUCACUCUGUGUUCAGUUGUCAUGACUUCAGAUUCCGAUGCUUUUAUUGUGCAAUUCUGGUGGGUCAUAAAGGCAGCAAUUGCAUUCUCUUUUUAUUC
Molecule: long non-coding RNA, 1725 nt
Organism: Sorghum bicolor (sorghum)
Lineage: Eukaryota; Viridiplantae; Streptophyta; Magnoliopsida; Poales; Poaceae
Exons: 2
Source: RefSeq, a predicted model, not a curated record